Molecule: ribosomal RNA, 376 nt
Filed under: uncultured bacterium
Lineage: Bacteria
Description: bacterial SSU rRNA
Rfam family: Bacterial small subunit ribosomal RNA
Source: RNAcentral
GACGAACGCUGGCGGCGUGCUUAACACAUGCAAGUCGAGCGGUAAGGCCCUUUCGGGGGUACACGAGCGGCGAACGGGUGAGUAACACGUGGGUGACCUGCCCUCAGCUCUGGGAUAAGCCUGGGAAACCGGGUCUAAUACCGGAUAUGACUCCAUGACGCAUGUUGUGGGGUGGAAAGCCUUGUGCGGCUGAGGAUGGGCCCGCGGCCUAUCAGCUUGUUGGUGGGGUGAUGGCCUACCAAGGCGACGACGGGUAGCCGGCCUGAGAGGGCGACCGGCCACACUGGGACUGAGACACGGCCCAGACUCCUACGGGAGGCAGGCAGUGGGGAAUCUUGCGCAAUGGGCGAAAGCCUGACGCAGCGACGCCGCGUGA